This 248-nucleotide ribosomal RNA is filed under the name uncultured Oscillospiraceae bacterium. RNAcentral describes it as "partial 16S ribosomal RNA". It matches the Rfam family "Bacterial small subunit ribosomal RNA", at positions 524 to 771 of the family's 1533-position model. Lineage: Bacteria; Bacillati; Bacillota; Clostridia; Eubacteriales; Oscillospiraceae. The record is from RNAcentral.
UACGUAGGUGGCAAGCGUUGUCCGGAUUUACUGGGUGUAAAGGGCGUGUAGGCGGAGCUGCAAGUCAGAUGUGAAAUCCCGGGGCUCAACCCCGGAACUGCAUUUGAAACUGUAGCCCUUGAGUAUCGGAGAGGCAGGCGGAAUUCCUAGUGUAGCGGUGAAAUGCGUAGAUAUUAGGAGGAACACCAGUGGCGAAGGCGGCCUGCUGGACGACAACUGACGCUGAGGCGCGAAAGCGUGGGGAGCAA